CCUACGGGAGGCAGCAGUGAGGAAUAUUGGUCAAUGGGCGAGAGCCUGAACCAGCCAAGUCGCGUGAAGGAAGACGGUCCUACGGGUUGUAAACCUCUUUUGCCGGGGAGCAAUGGAGUCCUUGCGAGGGCCCGAUGAGAGUACCCGGAGAAAAAGCAUCGGCUAACUCCGUGCCAGCCGCCGCGGUAAUACGGAGGAUGCGAGCGUUAUCCGGAUUUAUUGGGUUUAAAGGGUGCGUAGGCGGGAUGUGAAGUCAGCGGUCAAAUGUCGGGGCUCAACCCCGUCCUGCCGUUGAAACUGGUGGUCUUGAGUGGGCGAGAAGUAUGCGGAAUGCGUGGUGUAGCGGUGAAAUGCAUAGAUAUCACGCAGAACUCCGAUUGCGAAGGCAGCAUACCGGCGCCCGACUGACGCUGAGGCACGAAAGCGUGGGUAUCGAACAGGAUUAGAUACCCUGGUAGUC
RNAcentral lists this ribosomal RNA (460 nucleotides) under uncultured bacterium. RNAcentral describes it as "partial 16S ribosomal RNA". It matches the Rfam family "Bacterial small subunit ribosomal RNA", at positions 338 to 795 of the family's 1533-position model. The record is from RNAcentral.